RNAcentral lists this ribosomal RNA (253 nucleotides) under uncultured bacterium. RNAcentral describes it as "partial 16S ribosomal RNA". It matches the Rfam family "Bacterial small subunit ribosomal RNA", at positions 524 to 776 of the family's 1533-position model. The record is from RNAcentral.
UACGUAGGGUGCAAGCGUUAAUCGGAAUUACUGGGCGUAAAGCGUGCGCAGGCGGUUGUGCAAGACAGAUGUGAAAUCCCCGAGCUUAACUUGGGAACUGCAUUUGUGACUGCACAGCUGGAGUGCGGCAGAGGGGGAUGGAAUUCCGCGUGUAGCAGUGAAAUGCGUAGAUAUGCGGAGGAACACCGAUGGCGAAGGCAAUCCCCUGGGCCUGCACUGACGCUCAUGCACGAAAGCGUGGGGAGCAAACAGG